Molecule: long non-coding RNA, 734 nt
Organism: Acanthopagrus latus (yellowfin seabream)
Lineage: Eukaryota; Metazoa; Chordata; Actinopteri; Spariformes; Sparidae
Exons: 3
Source: RefSeq, a predicted model, not a curated record
GUAUAGAUACUGUAUAAUGGGAGAGCACGGCGCUGGGGGGGCACAUGGUGAUCACGAUAACAAAUGAAAACUUCUCUCAGUACUCUGGAUUCCUGAACGGGCAAGGUUUGCACGAAGCUCUCCUCGAAACAAAUUACUGUUGCAUAAGAUAAAGCCCUCACCUGGCAGCCAAGAAUGGAGCACACCUUUAAUAUGACAUAUAAUUGAGACAUAGUGGUCCCGGUCCGAGCGGGACUGCUCGUGUACGAAACCGAGGGCGUGCAUCAACUCGUGGGCAGCGACUCCUGACCACAUGCACCCAGGAGUCUGCAGGGACAGCGUCUGACUUCCUCCGGUCUGCCCUAGAUACGACCAGCAGCUUCAGGGGUGCAGAAGAGAAAUGACAUGACUCAUCAUCACAAUGCACAAAAAUCACAACAAACUGUGUUGACCGACAUUUGUUGUACAAAGUGUUCCUGACCUUUAUACAACUAUGAUACUGUCACCUCUUUACACUGUUGAAUGUGAUAUUAAGUGCAAGGAAAUAUCAAAAGUCAUUCUCUGGCAAUAAAUGUACUUAAAUGUAUCAAAAGUACAAGUAAAACUAACAAUAAAUAUAUUCACGUUUGUUUAUACUGUAUACUGUGGGUCAACCAAUAAUUGGCAUGUCGUUGGUGAUUAUCAUUUAUUAGAUUAUCAGAAUCAGUGUUUCUUUUCACCCGAUCGCUGAUAAAAUAAACACAAAACAUGUGCUA